Molecule: ribosomal RNA, 253 nt
Filed under: uncultured bacterium
Lineage: Bacteria
Description: partial 16S ribosomal RNA
Rfam family: Bacterial small subunit ribosomal RNA
Source: RNAcentral
UACGUAGGGGGCAAGCGUUGUCCGGAUUUAUUGGGGUUAAAGGGGGCGUAGGCGGCGUUGUAAGUCAGUGGUGAAAUAUGGCAGCUUAACUGUCAGGGUGCCAUUGAUACUGCGGAGCUUGAGUACAGAUGAGGUAGGCGGAAUUGACGGUAUAGCGGUGAAAUGCUUAGAUAUCGUCAAGAACACCGAUAGCGAAGGCAGCUUACUAGGCUGUAACUGACGCUGAGGCACGAAAGUGUGGGGAUCAAACAGG